Molecule: signal recognition particle RNA, 105 nt
Filed under: Holdemanella biformis DSM 3989
Lineage: Bacteria; Bacillati; Bacillota; Erysipelotrichia; Erysipelotrichales; Erysipelotrichaceae
Description: Bacterial signal recognition particle RNA
Rfam family: Bacterial small signal recognition particle RNA (bases 11-96)
About the family: The signal recognition particle (SRP) is a universally conserved ribonucleoprotein involved in the co-translational targeting of proteins to membranes. Archaeal SRP consists of a 7S RNA and homologues of the eukaryotic SRP19 and SRP54 proteins.
Source: RNAcentral
UAUAAUAACCUAGCUACUACAAUGAUAUCUUGUGAAUCAGGUCAGGUCGGGAACGAAGCAGCCUUAAGCAAGCUCCAUCAUGUGUAGUAGUUUUUUUUAUAUUUU